RNAcentral lists this long non-coding RNA (268 nucleotides) under Setaria viridis. RNAcentral's name for it is "long non-coding RNA (SVIR_LNC010492)". The record is from RNAcentral. Lineage: Eukaryota; Viridiplantae; Streptophyta; Magnoliopsida; Poales; Poaceae.
UUUUCGCUCAUACAUGUGCACUACAAACAGGUCUAGCUUUGGAAUUCGUAUAUGUGCAUGUUCAAAAUCUAUGCAUACAAGUGAAUAUUAAUUCUGAAAUAUAUACAAUAUGGAUUCCAAAAAUUGAAAUGCAUGGGUGCAUGUAUUUCACAUUUUUUAUAUAUAAACAAGUUUGAUCACAACGUGGCACGGAGAAAGUUUUAUCGCAACAUGUAAAUGUGAUUGAGUUCAAUAUUCAAAUUGCAGCCAUAUUGAAUAUAUCCUCUCC